UGGAGAGUUUGAUCCUGGCUCAGGACGAACGCUGGCGGCGUGCUUAACACAUGCAAGUCGAGCGAGGCUCCACUCUUCGGAGUGGAAGCCCUAGCGGCGAACGGGUGAGUAACACGUGGGCAACCUGCCCCUAGCACUGGGAUAACCCCGGGAAACCGGAGCUAAUACCGGAUACGACCACGGACGGCAUCAUCACGUGGUGGAAAGAUUUAUCGGCUAGGGAUGGGCCCGCGGCCUAUCAGCUUGUUGGUGGGGUAAUGGCCUACCAAGGCGACGACGGGUAGCCGGCCUGAGAGGGCGACCGGCCACACUGGGACUGAGACACGGCCCAGACUCCUACGGGAGGCAGCAGUGGGGAAUAUUGCGCAAUGGGCGAAAGCCUGACGCAGCGACGCCGCGUGAGGGAUGACGGCCUUCGGGUUGUAA
This 426-nucleotide ribosomal RNA is filed under the name Geodermatophilaceae bacterium. Its description in RNAcentral is "bacterial SSU rRNA". It matches the Rfam family "Bacterial small subunit ribosomal RNA", at positions 1 to 428 of the family's 1533-position model. The record is from RNAcentral. Lineage: Bacteria; Bacillati; Actinomycetota; Actinomycetes; Geodermatophilales; Geodermatophilaceae.